GGGUUGUGAGGUUAAGCGACUAAGCGUACACGGUGGAUGCCCUGGCAGUCAGAGGCGAUGAAGGGCGUGCUAAUCUGCGAUAAGCGCCGGUAAGGUGAUAUGAACCGUUAUAACCGGCGAUACCCGAAUGGGGAAACCCAGUGUGAUUCGUCACACUAUCAUUAACUGAAUCCAUAGGUUAAUGAGGCGAACCGGGGGAACUGAAACAUCUAAGUACCCCGAGGAAAAGAAAUCAACCGAGAUUCCCCCAGUAGCGGCGAGCGAACGGGGAGGAGCCCAGAGCCUGAAUCAGCAUGUGUGUUAGUGGAAGCGUCUGGAAAGGCGCGCGAUACAGGGUGACAGCCCCGUACACAAAAGCGCAUGUGCUGUGAGCUCGAUGAGUAGGGCGGGACACGUGGUAUCCUGUCUGAAUAUGGGGGGACCAUCCUCCAAGGCUAAAUACUCCUGACUGACCGAUAGUGAACCAGUACCGUGAGGGAAAGGCGAAAAGAACCCCGGCGAGGGGAGUGAAAAAGAACCUGAAACCGUGUACGUACAAGCAGUGGGAGCACCCUUUUGGGUGUGACUGCGUACCUUUUGUAUAAUGGGUCAGCGACUUAUAUUCUGUAGCAAGGUUAACCGAAUAGGGGAGCCGUAGGGAAACCGAGUCUUAACCGGGCGUUAAGUUGCAGGGUAUAGACCCGAAACCCGGUGAUCUAGCCAUGGGCAGGUUGAAGGUUGGGUAACACUAACUGGAGGACCGAACCGACUAAUGUUGAAAAAUUAGCGGAUGACCUGUGGCUGGGGGUGAAAGGCCAAUCAAACCGGGAGAUAGCUGGUUCUCCCGAAAGCUAUUUAGGUAGCGCCUCGUGAAUUCAUCUCCGGGGGUAGAGCACUGUUUCGGCUAGGGGGCCAUCCCGGCUUACCAACCCGAUGCAAACUGCGAAUACCGGAGAAUGUUAUCACGGGAGACACACGGCGGGUGCUAACGUCCGUCGUGAAGAGGGAAACAACCCAGACCGCCAGCUAAGGUCCCAAAGUCAUGGUUAAGUGNNNANNGANNNGGGANGGCNNANNNNNCCAGNNNGUUGGCNNNNNNGNANNCANCNNNNANNGNNAGCGUAANNNCNCACNNGUCGAGUNGNNNNGNGNGNAACGAUGUNNNNNGGCNNANNCANNCACNGANGNUGGCUUNGNAGCGANCGNAUCANUUAAAGNNAGNNNANNNGNUNACUGNUNGAGUCGGCCNGCGNNGANGANGUNANNGNGCUANACNANGCANCGANNCNGNNNNAGCGANACGUUCGAUUGGNNNGGGCGAGCGUUCUGUAAGCCUGNGAAGGUGGCCUGUGAGGGUUGCUGGAGGUAUCAGAAGUGCGAAUGCUGACAUAAGUAACGAUAAAGCGGGUGAAAAGCCCGCUCGCCGGAAGACCAAGGGUUCCUGUCCAACGUUAAUCGGGGCAGGGUGAGUCGACCCCUAAGGCGAGGCCGAAAGGCGUAGUCGAUGGGAAACGGGUUAAUAUUCCCGUACUUGGUGUUACUGCGAAGGGGGGACGGAGAAGGCUAUGUUGGCCGGGCGACGGUUGUCCCGGUUUAAGCGUGUAGGUGUGGUGUUCCAGGUAAAUCCGGUUCACUUUAACACUGAGGCGUGAUGACGAGGCACUACGGUGCUGAAGCAACAAAUGCCCUGCUUCCAGGAAAAGCCUCUAAGCAUCAGGUAACAUCAAAUCGUACCCCAAACCGACACAGGUGGUCAGGUAGAGAAUACCAAGGCGCUUGAGAGAACUCGGGUGAAGGAACUAGGCAAAAUGGUGCCGUAACUUCGGGAGAAGGCACGCUGACACGUAGGUGAAGUGAUUUACUCAUGGAGCUGAAGUCAGUCGAAGAUACCAGCUGGCUGCAACUGUUUAUUAAAAACACAGCACUGUGCAAACACGAAAGUGGACGUAUACGGUGUGACGCCUGCCCGGUGCCGGAAGGUUAAUUGAUGGGGUCAGCGCAAGCGAAGCUCCUGAUCGAAGCCCCGGUAAACGGCGGCCGUAACUAUAACGGUCCUAAGGUAGCGAAAUUCCUUGUCGGGUAAGUUCCGACCUGCACGAAUGGCGUAAUGAUGGCCAGGCUGUCUCCACCCGAGACUCAGUGAAAUUGAACUCGCUGUGAAGAUGCAGUGUACCCGCGGCAAGACGGAAAGACCCCGUGAACCUUUACUAUAGCUUGACACUGAACAUUGAGCCUUGAUGUGUAGGAUAGGUGGGAGGCUUUGAAGCGUGGACGCCAGUCUGCGUGGAGCCGACCUUGAAAUACCACCCUUUAAUGUUUGAUGUUCUAACGUGGACCCGUAAUCCGGGUUGCGGACAGUGUCUGGUGGGUAGUUUGACUGGGGCGGUCUCCUCCUAAAGAGUAACGGAGGAGCACGAAGGUUGGCUAAUCCUGGUCGGACAUCAGGAGGUUAGUGCAAUGGCAUAAGCCAGCUUGACUGCGAGCGUGACGGCGCGAGCAGGUGCGAAAGCAGGUCAUAGUGAUCCGGUGGUUCUGAAUGGAAGGGCCAUCGCUCAACGGAUAAAAGGUACUCCGGGGAUAACAGGCUGAUACCGCCCAAGAGUUCAUAUCGACGGCGGUGUUUGGCACCUCGAUGUCGGCUCAUCACAUCCUGGGGCUGAAGUAGGUCCCAAGGGUAUGGCUGUUCGCCAUUUAAAGUGGUACGCGAGCUGGGUUUAGAACGUCGUGAGACAGUUCGGUCCCUAUCUGCCGUGGGCGCUGGAGAACUGAGGGGGGCUGCUCCUAGUACGAGAGGACCGGAGUGGACGCAUCACUGGUGUUCGGGUUGUCAUGCCAAUGGCACUGCCCGGUAGCUAAAUGCGGAAGAGAUAAGUGCUGAAAGCAUCUAAGCACGAAACUUGCCCCGAGAUGAGUUCUCCCUGAGACUUUAGGUCUCCUGAAGGAACGUUGAAGACGACGACGUUGAUAGGCCGGGUGUGUAAGCGCAGCGAUGCGUUGAGCUAACCGGUACUAAUGAACCGUGAGGCUUAACCUUACAACGCCGAAG
This 3025-nucleotide ribosomal RNA is filed under the name Salmonella enterica subsp. enterica serovar Newport. RNAcentral describes it as "23S ribosomal RNA". It matches the Rfam family "Bacterial large subunit ribosomal RNA". Lineage: Bacteria; Pseudomonadati; Pseudomonadota; Gammaproteobacteria; Enterobacterales; Enterobacteriaceae. The record is from RNAcentral.